UAUGAAGGCAAGCAUAAAUAGGAGUCUUAGUUUUGAUCAUGGAAGUACGAAGAAAGAGUGAAAACAAAUAUAGAACCUUUGUUGAAGGAUGUUAUGAAGAUCAUCAUCAACUUUAAAGAAAUCUCUAGAAUCUUGUGAUUGCUUCCACUUGUGUAUUUUUGGUAGUUGCUGAAACCAUCUACAAUUGACGCCAAGGUGGAGAAAAUUCUAGACAAGCUGCUUUAUUAUUUUCGUCACCAAUUGCAAAGAAUGAUCUAGAAUUAUCAAAGGCCAUUUCCACCGCCAUCCUAGAAGAUUCAGCCACCGACCUUGCAUGUGUAUAUAUAUGUGUGUUCGCCGUGUGUAUAUGGGUAGAGAAAAGAAAAGAGAGAUAGAAGCAGCAGUACAUAUGUAGAGAGAGUGAUAAAGAGAUAGAUAUAGUGGGUGAGAGAGAGAAUUGUGCUGAUGAAAAUAGUUAGUUAGGUAUUACAAUUAAUAUCGAAUUGCUUGCUUAGAGUGUGGAAGGGUGUAUUUGUCAAAAAUUAAUUGUACAAGUUCCUUGUGUAAUAAAAACAAUUUCUUGUGUGUUCCAAAUUCAACAAUUGGUAUCAGAGCAAGGCAGUCUGGGAAGGAUUUUUUGAGCUUCUUGAGUUCUUGCACAAAAGGAGUCUGUGAAGCUUUUGUAAAUUUUGCUUGAUUAUGAGGAGGUAAAUCAAGUCAGGAUGAACGAUCUACAAGUGGUAGGCGGUGUAAAGAAGCUCAAUAAUCAUAAUUACACCACAUGACAAACUUGCAUGGAAUCGUAUCUCCAAGGGCAAGAUCCGUGGGAGGUAGUUGGCGGAAGUGAAGUAACGCCACCAGAGGAGGCCGGAGCUUUGAAGAAAUAGAGAAUCAAAACGGGUAAGACUUUGUUUAUUAUAAAGACAACAAUCGAAAAAGAAUUAUUAGAGUACAUAAGAGACAAGAUUAUACCAAAGGAUGCAUGACACACUUUGGCCUCACUAUUCUCAAAGAAAAAUGCCUUGAGGUUGCAAAUUCUAGAAAACGAGUUUCUCUCGAUCACUCAAGGAUAAUUAACCGUAAGCCAAUACUUUAAUAAAGCUAAAUCUCUCUGUCGUGAAUUUCCAGGUAUAGAUGCUUCAAGUAAAAUUUCGGAGUCGAAAAUGAGAAGAAUAAUUAUAUAUGGUUUGAGAUUCAAAUUUAGAAGUUUCAUCACUGCAAUACAAGGUUGGCCAGAGCAGCCUUCAUUGGUCAAUAUUGAGAAUUUGCUAGCUGAUCAAGAAGCAUUAACAAGACAAAUGUUAGGGGUCUUACUAAGAAAGAAGAGGAAGAAGCAUUAUUUAGUUAUAAAAGAAGAGAUCGACUCCAUGAACAAAAUAAUAAAGAAUUAGUAGAAGAUAAAUUUAAAGGAUGGGUUGAAGGAAGUUACCAGACAAGGAGAGUUCAAUGAAGCUGCUAUAGGAGAGAUCAACCAUUCAAGUGAUUCGAACGAAAUAAUGGCUCAUGUUUUAUAUGUGGUAAACGAGGCCAUUAUGCAAAAGAUUGCUGGUUUAAAAAGGAGCCAGCAGAAGGCAAUAUGACAACCUCCAAUGAAGAGAAAUAUGAUAGUGAAAAAGAAUGGGACAUUGAGGCACCGAUAACAAUGAUUUAGCAGACUCGAGAAAAGAAAUUCAAUUCGAGUUUAAAGAAUGAAUCCGCAAUGGUGGUAGUCCUGCGUGAUCAAUUAGAUUCCAAAGAUGAUUGGGUUAAUGAGUCAAAAGAUGAUGACUCAUAAGAAGAUUGGAUCGAUGACUCAAAAGAGGAAAUCGAGGUUCAGGAAGAGUCUUCAGGGUGGAUUUCGCAGAGGGAGAAACUACCAGAUUCAGAAUUAGAAGAAGUGUUUGAAAAAAUGUAGACACCGCAGAGGGUGAAUUUGCUAGAGCAGAUACCGCAGAGGAUGGAUCUACUGGAUCAAACACCGUAGAGGGUGGAGCAGACACCAAAGAGGGUGGAGCUGCUAGAUUUAAAAAAAAUGGAUGACAAAUUGCAAGAGGAAAUCACGGAAGCACGACAAGCCCUAGAGAAAGUAAAGAUUUGUGAAUACUAAGUAAUAAAUAAAUGUUUAUUAGAGCAACACAGAGUACAAAGGAUAAAAAAUGUUGACAAGCUAUUAAGGUACGUAUAAAUCCACAAUCACAAAUUAGAAAAUCGGGACGACGUGAGAAUUCAAGCACCAAGUAUCCUAAUCUAAAAAUCAGAGAAAAUGAAAGCAUGGAAGAGAUAAAUACAUUCGAAGUGGCAAAUAUGUUGAAUGAAGAACCAAGCACUUCAAAAUUUGUUGAGGCAAAAUUAAAUGUGACGAAAAAGAAAAGAGUCAAAAUGGAAAGUCGGUGCUGAAGGAGAGAAUUGAAAAUCAUCACCGACUUUAAAGAAAUCUCUAGAAUCUUGUGAUUGCUUCCACUUGUAUAUUUUUGGUAGUUGCUGGAACCAUCUACAAUUGACGCCAAGGUGGAGAAAAUUCUAGACAAGUUGCUUUAUUAAUUUCGUCACCAAUUGCACGAACGGUCUAGAAUUAUCAAAGGCCAUUUCCACCGCCAUCCUAGAAGAUUCAGCCACCGACCUUGCAUGUGUAUAUACACGUGUGUUUGCCGUGUGUAUAUGUGUAGAGAAAAGAACAUAUGCAGGGAGAGUGAUAAAGAGAUAGAUAUAGUUGGUGAGAGAGAGUUGUGCUGCUGAAAAUAGUUGGUGGGGUGUUACAAUUAAUAUCGAGCUGCUUGCUUAGAGUGAUGUUAUUUAGAGUGUGGAAAGGUGUAUUUGUCAAAAAUUAAUUGUACAAGUUGCUUGUGUAAUAAAAACAAUUUAUUGUGUGUUCCAAAUUCAACAUGUUAGAGCUGGCAUCAAGCAAUGUUGCAGCCAUAACUUCUUUCUUUACCGGAAUAACCAAAACUAAUUCUCAACGAAAAAAUAGCUACUUCAAGUUCAAAGAGGUCUGAAUUGGAAAAGGAAGAGACACGUGAGUUGUUAAAAAAGAGAAGAAACUGAAAUUCGAUCACUUGGAAUAGAA
Molecule: long non-coding RNA, 3022 nt
Filed under: Olea europaea (common olive)
Lineage: Eukaryota; Viridiplantae; Streptophyta; Magnoliopsida; Lamiales; Oleaceae
Description: long non-coding RNA (OEUR_LNC013094)
Source: RNAcentral